GCGCAAGGCCCUGGGUUCGAUCCCCAGCUCCGAAAAAAAGAACCAAAAAAAAAAAAAAUGACCUCAGAGUUCUGUACAAACAUUAAAUGGUUCAUCAUAAAAUGCUUGCAGCACUGCCUGGGACGAGACGUUCUCCUAAAUGUCUGCCUCCCGCAAAGCCAAAUAGACAGGCCAGAAUUCGGCCUAACGAAAGAGGAAGGGCACGCAUAUGCAAAGCGUCUUAGAAGAGAUUUUGAAUCUCCUGGAAGCCUUUUCAAGAUGAAAACAGCAUCCAGUUCCAAGGCUAGAAGGAAAGGAUUUUCCUUUGCCGUGUGAUUUUACAAGGCCGCUGAGAGCAAGCCUUCAGCCGGAGUGGGAUCUCUGGACAGCCAGCCAGACACCGCGUCUCUUCACUGCUCAGUCUUUACAGAUGGGAGGCUGCCCGGCCUUAUAGACGCCACAAACUGAAACGCACAGUAAGCGUGCAGGCUCUAGACAGGGGCUGGAGCCCCAGCAGGGUCUCAACCCCGUCUAAACUCCCGAAGGCAGCGAAUAGAGGACAGGCGGCGCCCACCCCUACGCGGUCUAGCCGGCGUCCCCCCGCCCUUCCGCCCGGCCAGGAUAGUUCGGGACAACCGCUACUCUGUGUGGAGAAAUGGACUGCGUCAGACUGUCUGCACCAGCUGAUGAUGAUUUGCUUCACGCUCUAGCAGAGCCGAGUCAAGCCUUCCUCCAUCCUGGCACAAGGCACAAGAGAGCUCUCUGAAGAGGAAAUAAAGGCCAUCUCUAGAGUCCUGAGGCAGGUGAGUUGAUGAACCAAGAAUCUGAGCAAAACCUACCUGAAGCCAGCUGGUCUAUGAGGUAUCUGAGGCACAGUUAAGUCUCUCUAGCAUCAUUCUACUCUUAAGGCAAAGAAGAUUUUAGGGGAACUUCUAUGUCUCCUCGGGAGCAAAGGAGAUGACAGAAAACACUGUAUCAAUGACAGGGUCUGAGCAGGACUGGUGGAGCUUAGAGAAGCUAAUGGGGGGACAUGUGUGAGCUCAAAACAUCUGAUCCCAGGUAACUUGACUGUGUGUCAUAACCCUGUCUCUGCCAGCCGAAUGGUCCAUAGCUGUCCCCCACAAGCAUCCCUUAGCCAAAACCAGACAUCUUUGCACUCCAAAAUAGCCCACUCCAGGCACUGUCGUUUCUAUCUCAUAUUUGAAUAUCUCCCAACUCACCU
RNAcentral lists this small RNA (1201 nucleotides) under Rattus norvegicus (Norway rat). Its description in RNAcentral is "uncharacterized LOC108349644". Lineage: Eukaryota; Metazoa; Chordata; Mammalia; Rodentia; Muridae. The record is from RNAcentral.